Molecule: non-coding RNA, 101 nt
Organism: Cytospora paraplurivora
Lineage: Eukaryota; Fungi; Ascomycota; Sordariomycetes; Diaporthales; Cytosporaceae
Source: the annotation of a GenBank genome assembly
GCGGGGAUAGCUCAGUUGGGAGAGCGUCAGACUGAAGUUUCACUUCUGGUCCAAUACCUAGGUAUAUCUGAAGGUCGUGUGUUCAAUCCACACUCACCGCA